Molecule: ribosomal RNA, 484 nt
Filed under: uncultured bacterium
Lineage: Bacteria
Description: partial 16S ribosomal RNA
Rfam family: Bacterial small subunit ribosomal RNA
Source: RNAcentral
AGUGAACGCUGGCGGCGUGCUUAACACAUGCAAGUCGAACGAGAACGGAUUAUAGCUUGCUAUAAUUGUCAGCUAAGUGGCGCACGGGUGAGUAAUGUAUAGGUAAUAUGCCUCUUACUAAGGGAUAACAAAUGGAAACGUUUGCUAAUACCUUAUACUCCUUAUUAACAGAAGUUAAUAAGGGAAAGAUUUAUUGGUAAGAGAUUAGCCUGUAUUGUAUCAGUUAGUUGGUGGGGUAAUGGCUUACCAAGACUAUGACACAUAACUGGUUUGAGAGGAAGAGCAGUCACACUGGAACUGGGACACGGUCCAGACUCCUACGCGAGGCAGCAGUGGGGAAUAUUGCACAAUGGACGAAAGUCUGAUGCAGCAACGCCGCGUGGAGGAUGACACAUUUCGGUGCGUAAACUCCUUUUAUAUGAGAAGAUAAUGACGGUAUUAUAUGAAUAAGCACCGGCUAACUCCGUGCCAGCAGCCGCGGUAA